GGCGAACGGGUGAGUAAUACAUCGGAACGUGCCCUGUAGUGGGGGAUAACUAGUCGAAAGAUUAGCUAAUACCGCAUACGACCUGAGGGUGAAAGCGGGGGACCGCAAGGCCUCGCGCUACAGGAGCGGCCGAUGUCUGAUUAGCUAGUUGGUGGGGUAAAAGCCUACCAAGGCGACGAUCAGUAGCUGGUCUGAGAGGACGAUCAGCCACACUGGGACUGAGACACGGCCCAGACUCCUACGGGAGGCAGCAGUGGGGAAUUUUGGACAAUGGGGGCAACCCUGAUCCAGCAAUGCCGCGUGUGUGAAGAAGGCCUUCGGGUUGUAAAGCACUUUUGUCCGGAAAGAAAUGGCCUGGGUGAAUACCCCGGGUCGAUGACGGUACCGGAAGAAUAAGCACCGGCUAACUACGUGCCAGCAGCCGCGGUAAUACGUAGGGUGCGAGCGUUAAUCGGAAUUACUGGGCGUAAAGGGCGCGUAGGCGGCCUGCUAAGUCGAACGUGAAAUCCCCGAGCUCAACUCGGGAACUGCGUCCGAUACUGGCAGGCUUGAAUCCGGGAGAGGGAUGUGGAAUUCCAGGUGUAGCGGUGAAAUGCGUAGAUAUCUGGAGGAACACCGGUGGCGAAGGCGACAUCCUGGACCGGUAUUGACGCUGAGGCGCGAAAGCCAGGGGAGCAAACGGGAUUAGAUACCCCGGUAGUCC
This 703-nucleotide ribosomal RNA is filed under the name uncultured bacterium. Its description in RNAcentral is "bacterial SSU rRNA". It matches the Rfam family "Bacterial small subunit ribosomal RNA", at positions 97 to 796 of the family's 1533-position model. The record is from RNAcentral.